GAAGAUGUAGCUUAGUGGGAGAGCUUGUGCUUAGCAUGCAUGAGGCCCUGGGUUAAAUCUCCAGUAGUUUUU
Molecule: transfer RNA, 72 nt
Filed under: Heterocephalus glaber (naked mole-rat)
Lineage: Eukaryota; Metazoa; Chordata; Mammalia; Rodentia; Bathyergidae
Rfam family: tRNA
About the family: Transfer RNA (tRNA) molecules are approximately 80 nucleotides in length.
Source: Rfam by way of RNAcentral